UACGUAGGGAGCAAGCGUUGUCCGGAAUCAUUGGGCGUAAAGCGCGCGUAGGCGGCCCGGUCAGUCCGUCGUGAAAGUCAAAGGCUCAACCUUUGAAUGUCGAUGGAUACUGCCGGGCUAGAGUCCGGAAGAGGCGAGUGGAAUUCCUGGUGUAGCGGUGGAAUGCGCAGAUAUCAGGAGGAACACCAAUAGCGAAGGCAGCUCGCUGGGACGGUACUGACGCUAAGGCGCGAAAGCGUGGGGAGCGAACAGG
RNAcentral lists this ribosomal RNA (253 nucleotides) under uncultured bacterium. Its description in RNAcentral is "partial 16S ribosomal RNA". It matches the Rfam family "Bacterial small subunit ribosomal RNA", at positions 524 to 776 of the family's 1533-position model. The record is from RNAcentral.